CCACAGAACUCUGACUUGGAUAAGACUUGUAUCCAUUUUAUUACGAUGUUCUUCUUUUUUACAAUUUAGUUCCCCAGAGGGCAAGACCAAGGUCAGUUUAAUCUGAAGUCUUUCGUACUUGAUAAAAAUGUCACUGUAAUGAAAACUUGACCGCAAUUAUAAAGAUGACAUCAUUAUGAUGAUGAUUAUGAUAAUAAUGAUGACGAUGAUGAUGACUUUGCCAUUGCUUUGCAGAAAAGGGUAAAGAAAAUUCAUCCUAUAAUCUUAAAACAGUUUCACUGAGAUAAUGUGGUAUUAUUAGUUCAAAGUCAUUGCACCCAUUUUUCUGGAAGACCCCAAAUCAUUGCGAAAGUACAGACAAAAGGAAGAGGUACUAACAGUUUCCCUACAAGUGGCUUCCAGGCAACACAUUCUGGGUUUUGUUGUUGUUGUUGUUUUGUUUGUUUUGAGAUGGAAUCUGGCUCUGUCACCCAGGCUGGAGUGCUGUGGCUGGAUCUCUGCUCACUGCAACCUCCACCUCCCAGGUUCAAGUGAUUCUCCUGCCUCAACCUCCUGAGUAACUAGAAUUAUAGGCCUGCACCAACAUGCCCGGCUAAUUUUGUAUUUUUAGUAGAGAUGGGGUUUCAUCACGCUGGCCAGGCUGUCUCAAACUCCUGACAUCAAGUGAUGUGCCCACCUCAGCCUCCCAAAGUGCUGGAAUUACAGGCGUGAGCCACAAUGCCCAGCAAUUCUUGAACAUAAAAAUAAAUAAUAAAUAAAACUGAAUUCCUCCCAAUCUAUCAUAGAAGCUCUUUGAUAACAUGAGUCAAUCAAAUAAAUAAGAAUAAUAGGAUUUUGACAAAAGAAGACAUUUAUCUAUUCCCAGAGAAACAUAUUGGUCACACAACUUAUAAAUUGCCAGUUGAGGUUCUCCAUUCAUCACCAAGAUUUCCAUGUAAUGACAGGGAAAUAAUUACCAUACCUCUCCCAUGUCAUGCAAUCUUUUGAUGUGUCAGGAAGUCAAACAAUACGUAAAUUCAGCCCUCAGUGUGUGGACAACACCUGUGGAGUGGGCAGAUUUUUUUUUCACUAACAGCAGCUAAUUUCUCUCCUGAGUAGGCAUGGAAUCUUUGUAGCAGGUCUACGGCUUCCGGAAAAGCUGCAGAGAGCCUUCCCUGGAAAAUCAAGGAUGUUUAAUCUUGAACCUUUCGACAAUCUAUCACAACCCUUUCUCCACUAAAACGUCCAGAAAAAUGUGCUAAUAUUUGUUUUUUAAAAAAUCAUAGAUUAGAAGCUCCAGAUUCAGCUCCAACUCACCGGUUCUCUUCAGCUUAAAAACAGAAUUUUCUCUUACCUGAAACCUAUAGGCAUCUAUUAGCAUCAAAUUUCACUAUUUGAAUAGGUAGUAGGGUCUUUGCUCCCAAAUGAUACAUAUUUUUACAUGUAUAUAAUUUUAAAUUAAAAUGUAAAUAUAAAAUAUAUAAAUAGUAUACAUAUGCAUAAUUGGUAUAAAAUAUAAAUUUUACAUAUAUAGAGAAAGAGAGAAAAAGAGAGAAAGUGAACCUGUCCAGAAAUGAAAGAGUGAAAAUCAACUCAGAUUGAAAAAGAAACAAGGAGUCCUUCUGCUAAUCCAGUGGAGAGGACAGCUACAUAAGGCCAGCUGUGUAAUUAACAGGAAACCCAAUUUUCCCAAGGUCAUGCAGCAGCUGCUCAAUGCCAUAACAACCCUCUUCCUGAAUCACCUCUGCCUUGUCACUAAUGAUGCUCACAGACAUGCUUUGCUGUAACUCAUCUAUUCCUGGGGAUCCAGAAUUGCUAAAUGUCCUUGCCUCAUGACAUGGCAUAAUCCCUAAUCUUCAUUUGUCCUAAUCCAGAACUGAUCCCCACUGGCUUCUGCUGGAUCCUCCUCCAAGCUCUUCAGUUAGAACCCAGACCUUGUGAAAGACACUUCCUCCUAUCAUGCAGCACUCCUGGCUCUUCCCAAAGGCCACCCCUUGCUGCAUUGACUCAAUACAUGUGAUUUUGUCGGACUCUGGGUUUGUUGAUAGUGAUUUGUGACUAACCCAUUAGCCUGUCACAAGUUGGAGGUUUCACAGAGAGUUGGCUAAGACCUUCGUUGCCAUGAACUGAGACCCUAACUCCAUAAUAAUGUGUAUGUUUGAGACCCCAUGAAUCUCACCUACUCAAGACUUCCCUGUCACCAAUUGUGUGAGUUUUUCACUGGACCAGGGGUCUGAUGACCUUUUUGUCUCUCCUGUGUCAGCUUUAUUAUUUAUCUCUCAGGAUUUGGUCGUUAUAAAUCUGACUUUGUCAGACUAUUUGUUCCCGGUGGUCUAGAAAAAAAAAUGUACACACACACACACACACACACACACACACACACACACAUAUAAUAUACAUUUAAUUAUUUCUUCAGUUCAAAGAUAAUUUUUUGGGAUGAAAGUAAAUUUAAAGCACAGAUUAAGACACAACUUUCUGGUUAUUCAAUUGCUUUAACUAACUUACCAUAAUGGAUAUAUUUGCUAUAAUUUUGCUACAAUAAACUCUUAAUCACAAACAAGAUAGAGAAGUGAAUACACAUAUAUGUAAGAGUGGAUACAAACAGAAAGAAAAAAUAAAGAAUUCAUGUGGUGAGCUUAUGAACCUUUCUUGAAAAAUUCUUUUUUGCAGAAUGUAUCACUUGCUGAGAAUUCUUGAUCACCUUUAUAAAAAUAACGUUUAUUGUUCUUUUAGGAUUAUAUCUUUUGUGAUGAUAUGAAUGAUACAUCUUAGCCUCUUUACUUGCUAGAUGACUUCUCUUUAUUUCACAAUCAGAUAAGAACAGAGAAGACUCAAGCUGAUUAGCACAUUUUUUGUUUUCCUCUCAAACUACAGCUACCUAAGAUCGGAACCCUCUGAUAAUUUGUGCUGCUAUUUUAAGAUCCAGUUCCAUUCUACAACUGGCUGAAGCAUGAAGUCAACUAAAAUAAACUGAAUUGAGUGGAACUGAACUGAACUGAAGUGAAAUAAUGUGAUUUCCAGUAAACCUGACACCUUAAGGACAGAACAUGAGCCUUGCCCAUCUUCCUCCCAGAGGUCCCAGCACAAUCACCGACUCACACAAUACUCUCAGUGCAUGAGUGAUGAAUUUCACUAACAGCGACCCAUCUCUCUACAUAAUCCACUCCGGUUUCACCAGAGCUGAGAGUAUCAUGAAUUACAUCUAUAGAUAGCUGUAAGCUAAUGACCAAAGCACAUAACUGAAUUCAAACAUAUUCUUUAUUGCAGUCAGAUGUGAGAAAACAAAAUUUAGAAGACAAGCCAGAAAGGAAAUGAAGAACAUAAAGAGCCUGAAUUCUCAUCGUCAAUUUUUCCCUGACUGACUCCGUUUUCCUCUCUUCUUUCCAUUUACCUUUCUGUUCCCAUCCCCAUCAUUUUUGUAGUGUUUAUUGAGUGUCUGCUGCAUGCCAGUCAAUGUGCUGAGUACUUUUCAUGUGUUAUACCAUUUGAUCGUCACAGCAGCACACUAUUAUAAUUAUGAAUAUGAUUCCACAUACUAUAUCUAAAAUUUAACUUAAUUUUACAUAGGAGGAAGCUGAGACUUGCCCAAGACUACUCCAUUAGUAAGAUGUGAACCAAGUGAACCAUGUCUGACUCAAACCUAACCCCUGAUUCUCUGAAUCCAUAUCACCGUAGAACUCAACAGUGAAAUAUUGGGGUAGAGGUAAUGCUAUUAGUACACAAACUAUGCACAGAUUUACAAGCAACUAAACAGGAACUCAUGGCCAGGCACAAUGGUUCAUGCCUGUAAUUCCAGCACUUUGGGAGGCCAAGGUGGGCAGAUCACCUGAAAUCAGGAGUUCAAGAUCAGUGUGGCCAACAUGACAAAACCCCAUCUCUACUAAAAAUACAAAAAUUAGCUGGGUGUGGUGGCACAUGCCUGUAAUCCCAGCUACUCAGCAGGCUAAGGCAGGAGAAUUGCUUGAACCUGGGAAGGAGAGGUUGCAGUGAGCCGAGAUCACAUCACUGCACUCCAGCCUGGGUGACAGAGCAAAACUCUAUCUUAAAUGAAUAAAUAAAUAAAAAUGAAAAAAACAAACAAAUGAAAGAAAGUCACGAGCACAACUUCUGACUCCCCCUCCAUCUUUUCCAUUGUUCCCUGUCUCUCUGCUUAAAAACAAUCCGAGUGACUCUCACUUUUUCCUUGUGUCUCCCACCCAUCUACCCUACUCUUGCUCUACACAGUUAAGGAUUGUUUUGAAAUUCUAUGGGGAAAAAUUAUAAAAUUUAUAAUCCCAAAGAGUCCAUCCAAUUGUCUGUAACAAGAUUUAAAGCUUAGUAUUAUCUCAACCCAAAAUUUGACAAAUGACAGUUUCCUUGUUGCUUGUACACACGUCACUCCAACAGCUGAAAAGCCAGGAUAGAUGUUUGCCAGUAACUUCCUUGCAGAGGCCUUAAUAAACUUAAGCAUGAUAUAUACCAAUAACCUAAUAAAUAUAUUGAGGGUUUCUUCUUAGCCAUAUCCUUGAUAUAAAGUGACAUCUGAGUUUUAUGACGUUUAAGGUUUUUGCCUUUUCUUCUGUCUUGGUGGCUAUUAACUGAGCACAUUUCUAUUUGUGAAUCAUAAGCUAAUGUAUUUACAUUUAGGAACAGAAAAUCAUGUCACUUGAUAAGUAUGCAGGUGUCAUAAGCUCCAGAGCACCAGCAAAAGAUGCAGGUGCUGACCACUUUGUUUCAUGUCAAAAUUCACUGUCUGAAGAUGCUCUGUGACCAUGAGGCUCAUCAAACACUCAACAUUCAAAAGAACUCUUACCACAUUCACACAGCAAAUCAGCAAAUCAUUUUUAAUCAUAAAUCAUCUUUGUUUGAAAACAAUUUACUCACUUGAAUUCUAGGUAACAUUCUAGGUUAUGUGUUCAUUUAGAUGUUCUUCUUUUCCAUGGAAAUCAAUUAAAAACAAAUGCACCAUCUUGGGAGAUGAGCUUAAAAGAUUAAUGUCAGACUUUUUGAAAAAACAAUUACUUGGGCAGAAUUAUGAAUGAACAACGUGUGACGUUUUUGUCAUUUUUUUUUUUUGGUUCUUUUAUUCUGCAUAUUUCAGUUUGGCUUUUAAUUUCAUCAAAAUUAUAGAUGCACAUAAUUCUUUUAAGCAUAGUAGGAAGACCAUGGGCUUCCUAAUGUGCUUAAAACAGGGUCCUCACACCUUGUCCAAUAUAUCCGAGAUUUCUCCCCUUUCUAGAGAAAACUACUUUAAAUUCUGAUAGAUUUUUUGUUGCUGUUGCUCAUAGUUACUUCCAUAACUCUAAAUAGCUCAUGCUGUUACUUUUAAUAUUUCUAUUUUGAGGCUAUCUAAUGGGUUCUCUCUAUGGAAAAUCAAGAUUCACUCUCAUUCACUCUCCCUCAACCUGACUGACCCCCAAGUAUCAUCUUCAUUAGUUUAGUUAGAUUACUAUACAGUAUUUACCUUAUUAUAGUUAGGUCAAUGCUGGGUCACAUAUUAAUCUAUAAUAACUUUUCCUUUUUAUGAGCAAUAUUUUGGUUUUACUUGAAGUUAAUCAUCACACUUGUGUUUGCUUAGUUGUGCAAAUGUCUGUCACUAACUUUGCAAACUUUUCCUCCAGUGUCUAAGCUUCACACAUGAGCUAAUUUUAUUGAUUGCAUCUUUAUUUCAUCUCUGGUGACAUCUGACCUGUUCUAGUCUGGACAGGUUUCUUCCCAGUCCCCAGCUGGCUCUUUCUUAACCACCAACUUGGGUUUGGAUUUCCUAUAACUGGAUCCUGUGUCUUUAUUGCUAGUUUAGUUCAUAGUUUUGGUGGAGCAUAUUCUCAAGACCAUCCAUGUGUGGAGAACUAAUUUGACAAAGACUUGAUGUGAACAUGUCUCUAUUUUCUAAUGUAAAUCAUUUUCCCUUGGGAUAUCAAAAGUUUACUGCAUUGACUUCUUCCCUCUAGUAUUGUUUUUGAGGCAUCUAAAGCCAAUCUGAUUCCUGAUCCUUCAGAAGAACCUCCUGCUGCUUUGGGGAGAAGGAGGUUCCUCUACCUGGUAGCUUUUGGGUACUCCUCUUUGCCCCCAUGGCUGAAAUUCACAAUGAAGUGCUUGGUGUGGUUUUAUUUUUAUAGGUUAUGCUGUACACUCAAUAGGUCCUUAUAUAGGAAAAAAACAAAAAAUAAAUAACAAAAAAAACAACAACACUGUUUUCUUCUUGAUACGUCACUUUCAAUGCAUCUGACAAGAGACAGGGGAGGAGUGUUACCACACCAAGCAAUUCUCCACUUCUUGGCAGACACCAACUGGGUGCCCCCCAGUUCAAUUCAACUCUGACACUAACAGAAUCAAUGUAGGCCCCAAAGUUUAAAGGUUCAGUCCCACAAGACUGCCCCACACUUUGCAGGCCAGUUGCAAACAGUAGGUUCCCAGAUUACCCACAACUUCUGUCCUACUUGGCUACAAACCAGAGUUUCCCACACCCAACUCUGUGGGUUUGACAAUUUGCUAGAGUGGCUUAUAGAACUCAGAAAAGCACUUUGCUGUUAUCAGUUUAUUAUAAAAAGAUACAGCUCAGUAACAGCCAGAUGAAGAGAUGCCUAAGUUAAGAUAUGAGGGAAGGGGCACGCAGGCUCCAUGCCCUCCAUGGGUGAGCCACCCUUCCAGGACCCCCACACGUUGAGAAAUCUGGAAGCUCCCCAAACACAGUCUUCUUGGGGUUUUAUGGAGGCUCCAUUUAGCAGGCAGGAUUGAUUAAAUCAUUGGCUGUUUGUGAUGUUCAUCUCCAGCCCUCUCUCCACUGGUGGAAGGUUGAAGGGUGUGGCUGGAUGUUCCAACCCUCUAAUCAUUUGCUUAGUUCCUCUGACAAGCAGCCUCGUCCAGUGCCUGUCCAGGAGUCUCCAGCCACCAGUCAUCUCAUUAGCAUACUAAAAGAUGCUUAUCAUGUCAGAGGUUCCAAGGGUUUUAGGAGCUACAUGCCAUAAAAUCAAAUAUUUAGUGGAAGACUAAUAUGGUUUGGCUAUGUCCCCACCAAAAUUUCAUCUUGAAUUGUAGCUCCCAUAAUUCCCACGUGUCAUGGGAGAGACCAGGUGGGAGGUAAUUUAAUCAUGGGGGCAGGUCUUUCCCAUGCUGUUCUCAUGAUAGCGAAUAAGUCCCAUGAGAUCUGAUGGUUUUAUAAAUGGGAGCUCUUCUGCACAAACUCUCGUCUGCCACCAUGUAAGAUGUCACUUUGCUCUUCCUUCAUCUUCUACCAUGAUUGUGAGGCCUCCCCAGCCAUGUGGAAUUGUGAAUCCAUUAAUCUUCUUUCCUUUAUAAAUUACCCAAUCUCAAGUAUGUCUGUAUUAGCAGCAUGAGAACAGACUAAUACAAAGACCAAAAUAUAUAUUUCUUAUUAUAUCACAGUAGCACAGCCCUCUUAAUGUACAAACUCAUUUUCUACAAUUCUGGCUAAUUUCUUGAAUUUUUUUUCUCUAAUAAUUUCUUUUCUCUCUUCUUUUUCCUGUUAUUCAGAUGGAUGUACCUGCUUCUUGAGCUGAAUUCUCACCAAUCCCUCAUUUCUGGUCAUUCUUAACCUUACUCCCAGAUGUGUUUGGUCUACUGCAGCCUUCGGAUCCCUACUAGAGUUUGCCUUAGGAAUCAGCUUUCUCAGACCUGUGUCUGAGAUAAAAUGUCUGGGAUAAAAUGUCAUUUAUCCUGCUUCCUGGAUUCUGAAAUUUGAUGAUUCUGUUCUCCUCUUUCAUCUCUUCUUUCUUAAACCCUUUUUUUUAAAAAAAAAUCCUGUAACUGUCAUUUACUGGAACUUCAGAGAGAAGCAGAGGUUAAUACCUAUGUUCAAUGGAUACAGGAGAUAAAAAGAAAUUAUUUAGGCAGUUAAUGAGGGUAAGAGAGUUCUUGGCAAGGCUUCCCUUUUAACACAAGCAACCCGCCAAAUCAUUUCUUUUCUAACAAAGAGCAGCCGGUAAAAUCAAGCCACAGACACAGAUAAGCAAGCUAGAAGCUUUCACAGGUAAAUGUGGCAACUGUGCCAAUAGAAACACACUACCUAAGGGCCAGGUAUGUUCAACAUGGAGGUUCCCUCUUCCCUUUUGUGGCUACAUAAGUGGUAAAAAAGCAUGGAGCCAGCCAGGUAGAGGCCUCAUCUGCAUAAUAAAAGAUUAGGGUGAGAUGUCCAGCUUCUUCACGCCCUAUGCAAACAGCACACCUGGUCUGACUAAUCUCUUGAUCCCUAUGUAAAUGAGACACCGCCUCCUCAAGCUCCUCUAUGAAAUCCCUUGCAUUUCAGUAGGAAACCAGAAGACCCACUUGGGAGCCCCAUGCUCUCUCUGCAGGAAAGAGAGCUUUUCUUGUCUCUUUUCUCUCGCCUAUUAAACCUCAGCUCUUCAACUCACUUCUUGUGUGUCUGUGUCCUUGAUUUCCUUAGUGUGAGACAACGAACCUCAGAUAUUUACCACAGACAACGUAGCCACUUCACAAUCUUGCAAAUUUUCACCAAGUCCUUUUCAUUAUUAUGUAAGGAGUUGGAACUGACUGAUGAGGGUUUGAUUGUGAUUGCCUCUAGCUCUCCCUGAUAGCAUUUGGAUGAGCUGGACAGAUGUAGGAUUAACAAAGGUCUGUAGGGUGGAGCAAAUAUGUCUCAUUACCAAGGGUAAAAUUUCAAGUGAAGAGGCUCCCAUACUAGAGCAACCACAACAAAACAAAUAACCAUGGAUUUGGGACUGAACACUAGGAAAGAGUGAAUAUAUGUUUUUGAGGUCAGCUGUGCUGAAGGCAAGAGAAGAACAUUGCCAAGUAACUUCCAAAUGUGACAUUUUUCAACCUUGGUUUAUGACUGAAAAGCCAAGAAAGACUAAGCUAAAAUGGAAUUCAGCUUCCCAGCCUAAAUAGUGGGAGAGGUCCAAAAUACAGCUAAGGAAAAUUUUACUGGGAAAGCUAGUUGUAUCCAUUUACUCUGUUCUACACAUAUCAAUUAGAAAUUUUAAAAAGGUAAGUUUGAUCAAGCUUUUAUUCCGACAUUUGAAAA
RNAcentral lists this long non-coding RNA (8962 nucleotides) under Homo sapiens (human). RNAcentral describes it as "HSALNT0159744". Lineage: Eukaryota; Metazoa; Chordata; Mammalia; Primates; Hominidae. The record is from RNAcentral.